Molecule: long non-coding RNA, 1902 nt
Organism: Pezoporus occidentalis (night parrot)
Lineage: Eukaryota; Metazoa; Chordata; Aves; Psittaciformes; Psittacidae
Exons: 2
Source: RefSeq, a predicted model, not a curated record
CUGACUUACUCAAGAUCAGCUUGUCAUUGCCUUCAGAGACAAAAGAAACUUUCCAUGCAGGACUCACUGCCUUUUUGUUCAGCAAAACUAAAAACAGAGCUCCAGCUGCAUGUUCUCUAGGGCAGAGAAUCGGCAAAAAACAGCAGUGGAAAAAGUGAACUCGGUGGUAUCUGAAUUUCUGCGAACUGCAUGUUUAAACUCUGGAAAUAAUUUUGAUCACUUUUUCAGCUUCAAUUUUACUCCCAAGCAUUAAAAUAAAAAACAGAGCAUGUGUAGUGUGCUACUGGAUACUGGUGCGGUCCUUUUACCAGUUUCAAUUCCUGUAUUUGUUCAUUUUCUCAACUUUCAUGUUGUGAUACAGAGUGUUAGAUGAAUUAAAGAGGAAAAGACAGUUAUUUCUCCCUUCUAAUCUACUACACUUUUCAGUUGGAAUCACUACUUUUGUGUAGCCCAUUGGAUCUCUCUAAUAGGAAAGAUUUUCAGAUACUAAAUGUAAAAUUUCCCUUUCCAAAUUCUAUCCAGGAACACAGUCUGUGCACAGGUGACACUUUCAAUUCUUUUCCUAAUUUCAACUCCAGAGUUACCUAUGGAUUAGACUGACUUUCAUUUUUCCCCUGAGAAAUCUUGUAGCCAUGUUAUGUAUGUGUGGCUUUCAUGUAAGGCAGACUGGUUUACUUUUCACUAGUUUUUUCCUCUUUGCUCAGCAUUUUUUAGUUAAUGCUUUUGGGUACUGAGGUACAGCUUUGAAAUGAUUAAGCAAUAAAAGGGAGGAAGUGUUACUGUUUUCACUUUGUUGUCAUGAUGCCUUUUGCAUGGGCAAUGCCAGACUAUAUUGUAUGCUUUUGUAGCCAUUUUGUAUGCUAAAUUCGUACCUGUUUUGCAGCCCAGGUCCAGCUUCUGCUCCCAAGUUUCUCCUUGCUUUUUUACCUAAAAUUCCUAUUUUUUUCCAACAUGUAUGUGCUUCUAAUCCAGAGCUCUUUUCAUUAGUGUGCAAUUCUUUCUUUUUAAGUUGUUUAACAACAUACUAAAUGAGGCUGAUGUUGAUAUUAGGCCUGGUUAGACUUCCCUGUCAAGGAUCAAAUGCGCUUUAUCCUCCAAGUGUUUUGGAGGUACAUGCGAUGGCAAAGCAAACCCAGCAUUCCAUUGACUAGCUAGCUAGCAAUCAGUAGUGUGUUACUAAAUUGAUUGUAAUACUGUUCUAUUGUCAUGAAGUUACUCUCAGUUUGGAGUACAAGGUUAACUGGGUUUUGAGUUACCAAAGUAAAAGAACAUGCUGUGAUUCGUAGAUUGUCUUUACUGUUCUUUCCUUUGCUGCCUUGUAAAGGAAGCUUGUAAAGUGUAUGGAGAAAGAGGAUGGACCUGUUCUCACUGUUUUGUUUAAUUGGUUUUUUCCCUAUAAGUUCAUAGUCCUGAUUGUGUUUCUGUACACUUUUCUGCUCUUUCUGCACAAGCUCAUGAGACUCUUUAUAGAACAUUCUGCAAGUCCUAUUAUUAUGAAGUAAUAGGGUAUCAGUGUUGGAAGUGACACAUAUUGUCACCUUCCUAUUUUGAAGCAAGGAUUUGUUGCUGGAAAUGACAGGAUGAAUGUUAGAAAAUUGAAUCUUAUAAAAGUAAAUAUUGUUAAUAAAGCAAGGUGUAUACAGUAUUGUGGUUUCUUUGUAUGUUUUGCUCCUCAAUCAGAUCAGCUGUAUAAAACUUACAAAAUGGAUUAUUUUAUUUCACUAUUUUAAAUCAACAAUAAAAUUGUGUUAUUUCCUCUGAAAACUUAAGGCCAUAGUUUAAUCUAGCUGUAAUGAAAACAGUUGUGACCAGUAGUUGUAGGAUGUUGUGCUCUUUGCUUGUAUUCUGUGUUCUAUGUAUCAAGAGGAACAAAGUGCAUCUUUUUAUCCUUUUUUCUUUUUU